UCGGUGGAUGCCCUGGCAGUCAGAGGCGAUGAAGGGCGUGCUAAUCUGCGAUAAGCGCCGGUAAGGUGAUAUGAACCGUUAUAACCGGCGAUACCCGAAUGGGGAAACCCAGUGUGACUCGUCACACUAUCAUUAACUGAAUCCAUAGGUUAAUGAGGCGAACCGGGGGAACUGAAACAUCUAAGUACCCCGAGGAAAAGAAAUCAACCGAGAUUCCCCCAGUAGCGGCGAGCGAACGGGGAGGAGCCCAGUGCCUGAUUCAGCAUGUGUGUUAGUGGAUGCGUCUGGAAUGGCGCGCGAUACUGGGUGACUGCCCCGUACACAAAUGCGCAUGUGCUGUGAGCUCGAUGAGUAGGGCGGGACACGUGGUAUCCUGUCUGAAUAUGGGGGGACCAUCCUCCAAGGCUAAAUACUCCUGACUGACCGAUAGUGAACCAGUACCGUGAGGGAAAGGCGAAAAGAACCCCGGCGAGGGGAGUGAAAAAGAACCUGAAACCGUGUACGU
Molecule: ribosomal RNA, 505 nt
Filed under: Salmonella enterica subsp. enterica serovar Virchow
Lineage: Bacteria; Pseudomonadati; Pseudomonadota; Gammaproteobacteria; Enterobacterales; Enterobacteriaceae
Description: bacterial LSU rRNA
Rfam family: Bacterial large subunit ribosomal RNA
Source: RNAcentral